GCACGUGGUACCCUCAGUCAGAGACUGGCCCUUGCGGGUGAGAGUGAGGCCGGGGAGCGACCAUGGCGUCGCUGAAUAGUAGCGCUGUCGUCUGCGUGAUUUGCUUGGAGAAACCCAAAUACCGCUGCCCCGCCUGCCGCGUGCCCUAAGCAGUACAACUCUAAAACUCUUAUUGAGAAAAGAUCAGCUGUUACUGCAAAAACUAUAAAGCCUGCAGAAGACAAAGGUGGAUUGGUUGAUUUCAAACCAGCCAACCUAGGAAAAGGUUUCAGAUGAUGAUGACUCUAUAGAUGAUUUUCUCAAUAGUGAUGAGGAAAAGGACAGUUUCUUUGCAGAAUUUCAAGAAUUUAGGGGAGUCUGCAGCAUUAAGAAGCCUACUGUUCAGGGGUGCCUGGGUGGUUCAGUCGGUUAAGUGGAAUCGCAAGUGCCCCGGUGCAGUGAUGAACCACACCAGUGAGUCGGAUCUAUGAAGUAGGGGAUUUUUGGCCUGCCUCCUUCCAAACGGGCUUGCUGGCUCCUCCCCAACUGGAUCACUCAUACAGUCAGCCACAUCUGUUGCUUCUCUGACUCCACAGCAUCCCCUGCUUCCUCCUGAUUUUUCUGCUCCCCUUCACCUCAACACUUAAACAGCCGAUGACACCCUGAAUGUAAGCCCCAAGAGGCAGAGGCUCACCUUCCUUAUUCACUGAUGCUAGCAACAGUGCCUGGUGCAAAACAGUACACAGAAAGGGAAUGGAUAAAUGAACAAGUGAAAUCUCUUGAGUUCCAGGUUGACUUCUGCAGACCUGCCUCUUUCUCUUCACCUCCACAUCCUGCUCUGGGCUGGGCAGGUCUUGUCAUGCCAGAGUCCCAAGCUCCACCCCAACACUGGCCCUGCCCACUGUGGGGCCUGGCCCACUUACCGGAUGGGGAAGCCAGCGGCACUGAUGUGAAUGGUCUCCACAAGGCCACAGGCCUCCAGCUGACUGAGGACCUGCAUUGGUGAGGAGACAGGGUGGGCACCUGUGGUGUGGGACCAGCAGACCAGAAAUACCACUCCUUCUGCCCUCUGAGGCUCUGGUCCGUGUGAACCUGCAGGCUGUCCUCAUGCUUGACUGAUGAGGGUAUACUCUCCUGCUUCUGAUACUGUGGAGUUCUCCUGAGGCUGGAGCUGUUUCAGGGGAGAGGAGGGGCCCUCACAGACAAAACACCAUCUGAGUCUGCCUGGAGAGCUACAGAUGGCUCAGAUGUGGGCACCGAGAACACAGAGACACCCUUGCCCAGACACUGGUGGACAAUGAGGAGAUGGGGGUGCAGAGAAGGGAAAAGAGCUGCCUGGAGUUGCACACUGGACUGGACUGUUUUUUCGAAGGAGUGCUCCUGAAAGGGUGAGCCCCUGCUACCUAUGAAAGUGGUCCAGGAGUCAGGGUCUGCACAGAUGCUGCUAUUGAUCACGGAUACCAGCCAGUCAAACAGCCUGUUGGGGUGGGGGUGGAGGGAGAGAGGACUCUGGUGAGAGGUCAGGUAAGCCUGAGGGAUAGCAAAACUGCUCCUCCAGCCAGGGUGCCACACUCUGAAGGGCCUGUAUUCCCAGCCAGACAGGCCAAAGGAUCAAACCCUUUCCUCCCAUUUGCUGCCCAUCCCAUUUUGCCCCACUACGAAUGCAGGCUUGUGGUCAUGCAUGUUCCUAGGAUGCACAAACCCGGCCUGUCCUCCCAACAAGACUGAACACACGACCGGUAGACUCUGGGGCUAGACAGGGAAUGGGACUCCAUCAGUCACUUGGCCGGACACCCAGCUAGUGUCUUAACUGGAAGGGAAGGGGUGAACGGGAAGGCCUAGGUGGAGUUUGCAAAGAACUGAGUUCACUGGACACCCCUGAAAACUGGACCUGUGGCACCUAGAGCUCAAGACCCUGCCACAUCCCUUAGUCCUGCAUAAGCAGGCCCCGAGUCACCUGAGGCCAAGGGGUACUCUGCACUCUGGAGCACCCCACCCUGAGACGGUGAGGCAGUUACUAUGCUGGUGACAUGUACAAUACUAUUAAGGAAUUUCUUUCUUAUGAUUUUUCUUAAAGUGACUGCUCUGCAGUUUAUUGCAAUUCAGUCAGUUAAGCAUUUCUGCUUUUGUACCAGGGGCUCCAGAUACCUGUCUGAGGCACUGAAAACAAGUGACCUAGUGUUACAAUGAUCUGAUGUUUAUUAUGUAUGAAGUGCUCUAUGGUUAGAGGUUCACACGAUCUAUGAUCAUCAUAUUUUAUUUUACCGAUUUUACAGUGACUUGACACAGGCUUUAAAAGUCUUUGGCAUGAAAUUAGCUUCAAGGCAA
Long non-coding RNA from Herpailurus yagouaroundi (jaguarundi), 2307 nucleotides. RefSeq lists it as uncharacterized. The record is from RefSeq and is a predicted model, not a curated record. Lineage: Eukaryota; Metazoa; Chordata; Mammalia; Carnivora; Felidae. The transcript has 8 exons.